This 497-nucleotide ribosomal RNA is filed under the name uncultured bacterium. RNAcentral describes it as "partial 16S ribosomal RNA". It matches the Rfam family "Bacterial small subunit ribosomal RNA", at positions 28 to 507 of the family's 1533-position model. The record is from RNAcentral.
GAUGAACGCUGGCGGCGUGCCUAAUACAUGCAAGUCGAACGAACAGACGAGGGGCUUGCUCCUUCGACGUUAGCGGCGGACGGGUGAGUAACACGUAGGUAACCUACCUAUAAGACUGGGAUAACUUCGGGAAACCGGAGCUAAAACCGGAUAAUAUUUCGAACCGCAUGGUUCGAUAGUGAAAGAUGGCUUUGCUAUCACUUAUAGAUGGACCUGCGCCGUAUUAGCUAGUUGGUAAGGUAACGGCUUACCAAGGCAACGAUACGUAGCCGACCUGAGAGGGGGAUCGGCCACACUGGAACUGAGACACGGUCCAGACUCCUACGGGAGGCAGCAGUAGGGAAUCUACCGCAAUGGGCGAAAGCCUGACGGAGCAACGCCGCGUGAGUGAUGAAGGUCUUCGGAUCGUAAAACUCUGUUAUUAGGGAAGAACAAACGUGUAAGUAACUGUGCACGACUUGACGGUACCUAAUCAGAAAGCCACGGCUAACUACGUG